AGUGAACGCUGGCGGUAGGCCUAACACAUGCAAGUCGAACGGCAGCACAGUAAGAGCUUGCUCUUACGGGUGGCGAGUGGCGGACGGGUGAGGAAUACAUCGGAAUCUACUUUUUCGUGGGGGAUAACGUAGGGAAACUUACGCUAAUACCGCAUACGACCUACGGGUGAAAGCAGGGGGUCUUCGGACCUUGCGCGAUUGAAUGAGCCGAUGUCGGAUUAGCUUGUUGGCGGGGUAAAGGCCCACCAAGGCGACGAUCCGUAGCUGGUCUGAGAGGAUGAUCAGCCACACUGGAACUGAGACACGGUCCAGACUCCUACGGGAGGCAGCAGUGGGGAAUAUUGGACAAUGGGCGCAAGCCUGAUCCAGCCAUACCGCGUGGGUGAAGAAGGCCUUCGGGUUGUAAAGCCCUUUUGUUGGGAAAGAAAAGCAGCAGGUUAAUACCCCGCUGUUCUGACGGUACCCAAAGAAUAAGCACCGGCUAACUUCGUG
This 492-nucleotide ribosomal RNA is filed under the name uncultured bacterium. RNAcentral describes it as "partial 16S ribosomal RNA". It matches the Rfam family "Bacterial small subunit ribosomal RNA", at positions 29 to 507 of the family's 1533-position model. The record is from RNAcentral.